Long non-coding RNA from Macadamia integrifolia, 985 nucleotides. RefSeq lists it as uncharacterized. Lineage: Eukaryota; Viridiplantae; Streptophyta; Magnoliopsida; Proteales; Proteaceae. The record is from RefSeq and is a predicted model, not a curated record. The transcript has 4 exons.
UAGAAAACGCAGGACAGGGGAUUUGUUUCAGAGUUUUUUUUUUUAAGAGAGAUUUUUGGUUGUGAAAGAGAGAGUCUCAGAGCAGAAAUCACUAGUGAAAGAUGGUCUCAGAGAAGGAUGUUUGGUAGGGGAAAAGCAGGGAAAGAUGUCUGAGGGAGUGAGUCGGAUCUUCUUGAGGAUUUUGUGAGAAAGAUUAGGGAAAAAUCACAGCAUCAGUUAGGAGUACUCAGGGAAGGUUCUAAAGAAAACUGUGGAGGUUCUUGAGGUGAUGCAAUUUUGUUUUCAGAUCUGAAAGAAAAGGUUUCAGGAGGCAGAAGCUCACUGUGCGACCUUCAUCUUCUUGGAUCCCUCCUUCGACAGAUCGAAGCUGCACUUCUACCCCUUCGAUUCCUCUCUGUUUGACUUAAUUUUUCCAGAUCUAAGGGAGGGGAAGAAGUUUGGUGUAUUGUGCGCUUAUUGCUCCCAACUUUUUUAGUUUUUCCAUGGGCACCUUAAAUGAUUUCUACUUCCUGACGUAAACUUACCUAAUCAUCCAAGUAGCUUAAACAAGGUGUCACCACAUGGAAAACGGCUCGACAAAGGACGCCAUUUGCCAACCAGUUACCAAAUCAACUAACAUUUGCUUAAUGGUGUCCAUAGGGCCAGAACUUUUUUGAGGGGAUGCACUUUGAUUUUACCAAGGGACUUGGUCAGAAAUUCUCCCUAAAGUGACAGGUACCUGGCACUUCUAAUGGUCAAAGUAAGUCACCGCAACAAGGAAAUAUUUCAGAAACUCAAAUAUAGAGCUUGAGAGACUUGGACCCGAAAAAAGCACUUAAAAACUAGUGGAGUCUAAUAAAAUAAUUUUUUUUACUGUACAAUUUGAAUUUUGGAAUAUGAUGGAGUUUAAUUUUUUAGAUAAGAUUGUAGAAUUAAUUAUUGUGGAUAUAAUUGAUUGGGAUGAUGAUUGUGAAUUUAUUCUUUUUUCUUAUUUAAGUGAUUUGGA